CUGGGAGGAACUUAACACAUGAAAGGCAGAUUGCUCAUGCAGAACUACAAGUUUUCCCCACAAAAUUCUUAAGGGAUAUAUAUGGUUAGCGUUAAUGGAUAUACAAAGGAACCCAGCAAAUGGAAAACAUAAGAGGUAGAAUUUAAUUAUCGGUCUUGGUUUAAUUCUUAAUAGAUACAGGCUAGGUCCUAGAUAAUAUCACAGUUCAGGACCAUCAAGGACAAAUGCUGCCCGAGGCGAGGACUCUUUCAAAAAUUACAACAUGGGGAAAGUGUGGUAAGUCCCAGCGCCCAUAGAUUCUUCGGUGAUUGAGGAUUCUGUGCCUCGAGUUCACCCAGGCUUGAAGAUCUUGAAGGGGAGAGAAAAUCCAUAGCCUAAACCUUCUGCACAUAAAAGUCUAACAUACAUCAGAGAAAAACAAGAAACCGUCUACCAAGAAAAC
RNAcentral lists this unclassified non-coding RNA (442 nucleotides) under Hevea brasiliensis (rubber tree). Lineage: Eukaryota; Viridiplantae; Streptophyta; Magnoliopsida; Malpighiales; Euphorbiaceae. The record is from RNAcentral.